GAAGAUGUAAACAUAAAAAAAUAA
This 24-nucleotide non-coding RNA is filed under the name Rattus norvegicus (Norway rat). Lineage: Eukaryota; Metazoa; Chordata; Mammalia; Rodentia; Muridae. The record is from RNAcentral.